Molecule: ribosomal RNA, 253 nt
Filed under: uncultured bacterium
Lineage: Bacteria
Description: partial 16S ribosomal RNA
Rfam family: Bacterial small subunit ribosomal RNA
Source: RNAcentral
UACGUAGGGGGCUAGCGUUGUCCGGAUUUAUUGGGCGUAAAGAGCGUGUAGGCGGCCAGGUAGGUCUGCUGUGAAAACUCGAGGCUUAACCUCGAGAUGUCAUCGGAAACCAUUUGGCUAGAGUCCGGAAGAGGAAAGUGGAAUUCCUGGUGCAGCGGUGAAAUGCGCAGAUAUCAGGAAGAACACCAAUGGCGAAAGCAGCUUUCUGGGACGGUACUGACGCUGAGACGCGAAAGCGUGGGGAGCGAACAGG